AGUGAACGCUGGCGGUAGGCCUAACACAUGCAAGUCGAACGGCAGCACAGUAAGAGCUUGCUCUUACGGGUGGCGAGUGGCGGACGGGUGAGGAAUACAUCGGAAUCUACUUUUUCGUGGGGGAUAACGUAGGGAAACUUACGCUAAUACCGCAUACGACCUACGGGUGAAAGCAGGGGAUCUUCGGACCUUGCGCGAUUGAAUGAGCCGAUGUCGGAUUAGCUAGUUGGCGGGGUAAAGGCCCACCAAGGCGACGAUCCGUAGCUGGUCUGAGAGGAUGAUCAGCCACACUGGAACUGAGACACGGUCCAGACUCCUACGGGAGGCAGCAGUGGGGAAUAUUGGACGAUGGGCGCAAGCCUGAUCCAGCCAUACCGCGUGGGUGAAGAAGGCCUUCGGGUUGUAAAGCCCUUUUGUUGGGAGAGAAAAGCAGCAGGUUUAUACCCCGCUGUUCUGACGGUACCCAAAGAAUAAGCACCGGCUAACUUCGUG
This 492-nucleotide ribosomal RNA is filed under the name uncultured bacterium. Its description in RNAcentral is "partial 16S ribosomal RNA". It matches the Rfam family "Bacterial small subunit ribosomal RNA", at positions 29 to 507 of the family's 1533-position model. The record is from RNAcentral.